Long non-coding RNA from Gallus gallus (chicken), 4395 nucleotides. RefSeq lists it as uncharacterized. The transcript has 2 exons. Lineage: Eukaryota; Metazoa; Chordata; Aves; Galliformes; Phasianidae. The record is from RefSeq and is a predicted model, not a curated record.
GGGGUAUGGGGUGGCUUUUUGUGGAGCGGCUGCGUCGUAUCGCACUUACGCUUUCUGCUGAGUGAGUGGAAGGACACAGGUGUACUUUUUGUAGCGAAACGUUUUGCGCUCAUGGAGAGCGGAGCUGUGGGAGCUCGAAGGGAGCCCUGAGGGAAAGCCGGGUCCGAGGGUCGUCCUUGCCCGCCCUUUUCCUGCCGUGUGCCUGCCUGCGGGAACGGCGCGGUGCUGCUGCGGAGCCGCGGUAUUGCACCUGCACCGCCAGGAAGGAAGGAAGCGUUCCGAGGAGGCUGUGUCUGCUGACACCGAGAUGGGGUUCUGAGAAAAUGGUGCUGUAUCUUUUAACUAGAUCGCUGCUGAGGCGUGUGAAACGCUUGUUCCUCAGAUACGGUUAAGGUUGAUGUGCUUGCUGCUGUACAGCUAUGAGAAGGCCUGGUACUCCCACUUGCUAGGUUUCACAAGAGGUUUUUUAUGUGUGUUGGUUUGGGGUUCUCAGACAUCCCCCGAGAACAGGAGAAUCCAGAUCACGUUUUGGGUUUCGUUCAGAUUUGUGAGUGAGGGCUGUGAAGGCUUCUCGCGUUUCAGCCAUCACAUACAGCAUGGUGAGCGAGGUGUCAUGGCGGGGUUGUGAGGAGUUCCUGCAGCCCUGGGUAGUGCUGUGCUGUCCCUCCUGCUUCUGGAAAUGAACAGAAAUCCUGUGUCUCCAAGAAACAAAAAAUGAACCCUUCAGCCCUAAAGUAUUUUAAUCUGAGGGAAGCAUAAGACCAAGGAGCGGCUCACAGUUGUUGAGAGCAAUUUAGUGUAAUCGUGAGGUGCUUUUGUUGGGAGGAUCAGGAAUUCUCAUAGUUCUCACAUUUCGUUUCUGGAGAACAGAUGAAUUUGAAUUUCUUAGGCUCAAAUGUAAAGUUUUUCUUCUAAACCCAAGGCUUUAAAUUACAACUGGUAUCAGCUGCUUCAUAUCCCUUUGUUCUUCUGGAAAGCCACCGUGCUCCUCAACAAGAGCCUCACUGCACCGCUUACUGAAGAUGCUGGUAGAUCACGAAAAAGAAGAACCUGUAAAUCAGGAGCUACAGGAAGGUAGUACAAGAAAAAUACUUAUUUACAUACUUCCUGCUAUUGUGCAGCAAAACUUGAGCAGUCAGCUAGAAGCCUUUUAGUUUUAUUUUUACAUGCUUACAUUGAAUAGUCCUAUUGAACUCUGUGGCUAUUCCCAUGGUUGAAGCUAGAGGUUCCUACAUUUAAUUUCCUUGUAUUCACCUAACAGCAGUGACACAAGCUCCAAAUGGUAUGUGAAGUCUUGUGUGUGAGGAGGGAUGCCCCCCAUAACUCUGUACUUUCACACCCUUAAAUGACAAGUCACUGCUGCUGCUUUCCAUCCCCAUCACUUCAUCCUCUUUAUUUUGCACCUACCUAAGCAGUGCAUUGACUGGAGAAUGCAGAAGGGACACAAGACCUGUUUUGCUGUGUACCAAAUGAAGCUGCCAUGAUGCACGAUGAACAGAAAUGGCUUAUGGAGAGACCUACUGUAUGGGUUAAGUUCAUCUCUUUGUACAAGCAAGGUUAUAAACUUUAAAGAUGUGACAAUUUGAUGUGCUUUGUAUGUGACAUGCUGCUGUUGCAGACAGCCUAAAAGGGAUUUAUUUCUGUAGCCUGGCUUCUAGCAGGACCUGAGCAUGUGAGUAUGGAGGCCAGUUAUCCUAAUUUGAUGCUUAUGGUAUAAAACCAAAUACUGUUUCAGGAAUGUGUUGAUUUAAUGCAUGCAAUUGUUGUUAAAAAAAAAAAAAGCUAAUAAAUUGGUAUUUCUGAAUGUAUUAUUGUUACAAGAUUUAUUGAGUUAUAAUGCUUACCAGAAGGAACUGGGAAAGCUUUAGUGGAGGAAAAGUAUAUUUAAAUAAACUGUAGAUACUUCCACUGUUAAAGCACAGAACAAAAUACUGACUUAAACUGAGCCACAUCCAUUUUAUCUCAGUUCACCUAGCAUUGGUUCAGUGAAUAUAACGUUCCAGGGUGUGUAUUGUUGUGCUUCAUUAGUCUUGUUUCAGUGUGGAAUCAUCUGAAAAGCAUAAUCUCAUUAUCUGCAGUUAAUUGUUGAUCACUAGCUUGUACUUAACUCUUGUCAAGCUUGAAUUUCAACACUUAAGCUGGAGAUGUUUCUCUUAUAUUGGUUUUUCUAACUAGAAAAACAAUAUUUGUUAGACAUCUCAAACUUGUUAACCUGUAAUUCAGCAUUGAGCCUGCUGAAGUUCAAGAAGUAUUUAGGCAACAUUAUAAGAAGCAUGGUUUGAGUUUUGGGUGGUGUGGAGCAGAGCCAGGAGGUUAUGGGGUUGUUUGGUGGUGGUUGUUGGUUUUUUUGUUUGUUUGUUUUUUCAGCUGUUGUGCCCCUUUUACUGUAUCAUAAGACAAAUUGUUCUCCUGCUAACUGGAGUGUUAACUGUUAAUGUAUGUGAGGUGUAUUUAGAGUGAUGUUUCUAUACAUCACUCUGCACUUAGUGAUAUUGCCCUCGACUAUAAAAUUUUGGAGAGCUAAGGUUUCUGUAGGACAUAAUCUUUUUUGGUUUACUGAGAUCAGAAGGGAAACCUAUAUUGAAGAGUGUUAUUGUAUAUGUAACUUCCUGGGAUGAAAAAAAGGUGUAUAGUUACCACUGUCAGUAGUUGAUGAAACUUAGACAACUAUGUGUCCUGGUUCUGCUGGAGUGCAAUGUAUGUGAUCUCAGGUUAGAUUUUAGUUAAUCCAGGUGGGUGUUUCACACAUGAAUCAGUCUUUACAAUUUCUCUACUUUCAGAGCAAAUCAAGGAUUACAGUGCCCCCUACAGCAGCUCUGCGGUUUUUGUUUUUUCUUUGAAUCUUGAGUGAAGCUGGGCGGAGGUACGUGCCAGGUAUACUGACAGUAAAAAUAAUAGUGGCUCAGAGAAGCCUUUUUUUGUUGUUGUUUUUUUUAAGAUUGGUCUUCAGUUUCUAGUUGACUUUCUCCCUUGCUGCUCAGAGGUUUUCAUCUGUCCCGGAGCUACUUAUUUCUGUUUUAUUAGCACUGGUGCACUGUGACGUUGGAAAUUGCUGGUUGUGUUUCUCCUGAGCAGAAACUAAAAUCUGAGAGCAGCUGUGGCUAGAGGAGGGUAUGCUGAGAAGGCUGGGAUGACUGUGAUUUCCCCUUCUUGAGCGCUGCUUACUGAAGCACAUGCUCCUGGACAUGUGAUGGAGAUGUAGCUUUGCAGCUCUUCCCUAGUUGAUUUAAGUGGAGCAGGAAGAGAAACCCAAAACAGGAAAGAGUGAUUUAAAUUAAGGCAGCACUGGCAUAAAUAAGAACAAGUGACCAUAAAUAUAUUAGGGCUUGAAUUCUGUGGGCUUUAAGUCUUGGAAGACCAAGGGUUCAGAGCAAUAUAAUGAAAAGAAUAAUGUCACAUAUUUGUGUAUGAUAAGUUUUUGGACUUAGUAACCUGAAUAUCUCCUCCAGUCUCGUGUUUUUAACGAAAGCUUCAGUCUGUGAGGAAGCUCUCUCAAAAUUUUAAUGAAAGAUUUCGUCCCAAGUAAUUUCCCUUGACCUGUGGAGUUCUUUAGAAGUCUGUGAUAUAUAAGUCUCUGCUUUUAUUCCUAGGGGUUUUUACAGAGACUUCUAUGGAUUGUGGAGAUGGUUGAUCUGUUUUUUAAAGAAAAUGGGUUGGAGUGAAAGUAGUAGAGAUGUCCAAGUCCACGACUUGGAAGUUUUCAGGAAGUUUGGGAGAAUCGAAUGUUUCUCCUCCACUAUUUCUUGAAAGCAUCUUCCUUCAGGAAAAUGCUUAGGUACAUGCUUGUCAGCUAUUCACGUGUUGUAACAUAGGUGAGGUGUCUAUGAUGUAGAGAAGUAUAAAUUUUGUUCGAAAACUGUAGUUACUAUGGCCAAUUAAAAUCAAGUAUGUGCAUGGCUUUGCUUUUGGAUGGGGAAAAGAAAUGACCUUUCAAAUCUUGACCAUCCAAAUACAUUUAGAAAAAUAUGUUACAUGGCUUUUUCUCUUACGUCAGCAGAUUUGGACUUAGAUGUUCCUUUCUUUCUCUUGAUGAAAAGGAGAAACCUCUAUCCUUUGAUGUCACACAAAAUUAUGCAUGCUUUAUGCUGGGCAGCUGAUGAAGGGAGCAUUUUCUUGUCACACCUGUUUCUCAGCCAGCAAAUUCUCCUUGAUGCAGGUGGUAAUGAAUCAUAUUUUUCAGCUUUAUCAGGAUUCUCAUCAGUUACAAUUUCAUGUUCAGAACUGUGGGGAACUUUAGUGUGAUGACUUAAGGCUUUCUGGUGCUUUCUAGUUAAUUUCUUUUUAGUAACAGUAACAGUAAAUCAGACAAUGUGAUUUCCAGAAUGGGAAGUAUGUUCUGAAAAACUGUAUACAUUUUAAGAAAUUUCUGAUGCAAUAAACAACUCUUCUUUUUAA